UACGUAGGGGGCAAGCGUUGUCCGGAAUCAUUGGGCGUAAAGCGCGUGUAGGCGGUUCAGUAAGUCUGCUGUGAAAGUCCAGGGCUCAACCCUGGGAUGCCGGUGGAUACUGCUGGGCUAGAGUACGGAAGAGGCGAGUGGAAUUCCCGGUGUAGCGGUGAAAUGCGCAGAUAUCAGGAGGAACACCAAUGGCGAAGGCAGCUCGCUGGGACGUGACUGACGCUGAGACGCGAAAGCGUGGGGAGCAAACAGG
RNAcentral lists this ribosomal RNA (253 nucleotides) under uncultured bacterium. RNAcentral describes it as "partial 16S ribosomal RNA". It matches the Rfam family "Bacterial small subunit ribosomal RNA", at positions 524 to 776 of the family's 1533-position model. The record is from RNAcentral.